UUUCAUCCUUUAAUGCAAGAAAUUUCUCUUCUGACCAAUACUAUCUGACAUGCACACAGUGCAUUUCUUCUUCAUCCUCCCAUCCAUCAACCAAGGAACGGCAGUCCUGCCCUGCUGCCAUGGACCGAAUUGUGUUCCCCUCAAAUCAUAUGUUUAAGCCCUAACCCAUCAUGUGAUGGCAUUUGGCGGUGGGACCUUUGAGAGGUAAUUAGGUAUAGAUGAGGUCAUGAGAGUGGGACCCCGUGGUGGGAUUAGUGUCCUUCUAAGAAGAACUCUUUCUCGCUUUCUCCUCAUGCACAUACUGAGGAAAGGCUGUAUGAGGACAUAUUGAAAAGGUGGCUGUCUGCAAGCCAGGAAGAGCUCUCACCAGAAACCAAAACCUGCUGGACCUUGGUCUUGGACUUUCCAGCCUCCAGAACUGGUAGGUGGCCACUGGCAGUCUCACCUCCGUGCUCUUCUGGCACCAGAACCUUCAGCUCCAAAUUGUUAAGUCUGAGGGGAGACAUAUUGGUCCAGCUUGGGAAUCAUGAUGUCCUUCGACCAAUCCCACCCAGGAGAAUUGGAUACUGUGAUGGCUCAAGUCCCGGAUGUGGAGGUGAAUAGCAGAAGAGGGGAGACUGGAAAGCUUGUGCAUCAGAGAAACAGUCCUGUUCUGUAGCCCUGGGCCCACUCCUUCCUGCAUCCAGGGCCUGGCUGCUCAUACUGUUGACUCAGUUCUGAACUGAUGUCUCCAUGGACUCUGCACCUGAUUCCAGAUCAUUAAAGCCCACGUACUUGCUUGAGCUCAGGUGCGAUUCUAACUGUUUUGAAACUCUCUUCUGGAAAUCAUAUUGAAAUAAUUGUGAUCACGUGAUCCAUCACACAUUAACCCAAGUUAGCACCUUUCUACCUCCUUGUAUAAAAGUGUCAAAUCUCUGGGUGAAUGUUUCACAAAAUGCCCAUGUAUAAGAUCAAGCAUGUCUAAUUCGAACUACCUGUGGGAAGGACAAUCUGGAUUAGAAAAACAUCGGAAUCCUGAUUUAUAUUUUAAGUAAUUCAAGUUUCUGUGUUACUGAUUAGGGUUCUAGCGACAGACAGACAAAAGCCACUCUGGGUGGUCUCGGUAGAAAUGACUUAUUAGGAAGUCUAGCUAGCCCACAGGAUGGUGAGGAUAGCUGAAGAGACUGUCUUGUGGCUCUACUCCAGGAAUGACUCCCAAGACCACAUUGUAGGACUCGGCUGCCAACGGAGCUGCUGCGUCCCCAUGGUCAGAAAGCAGCUGGAUGAGGACGCCACCUGCCCCGGCUCCUGGCUCCACAACUGAACCAGCUCUGCCAGGAUCUGUCAGCAAAACGGACGCAUGGCGCCUCUCUCUCUCCGUGUAAUGCCUUCCCAAGUUAAAGUCUCACGCAAGCACCUUUUCCUCUGUGCAAUUUCACUCUCAGUCAAGGUCGUGUGCAAGUACACGUGACUGUUGGACUAAGUCACACCUGGAACUCGAGCUGCAAGGGAGUUUAGGCGAGUCCGCGUGGAGCUUUCCAGCCUCUGUGCAGUAGACGGGGUUGGGCUUGGAACAGAUGUUGAAUGAGCAUCUUCUCUGGCUUCCCCUAAUCCUCACAGAGAGAAGAUGCUUGAUAAAUGUGUGUGAAUGUUUGCGUGUGUGUGCGCGCGCUAUAGACUGAAUGUUUGUUCCCCCCCUCAAUUCAUAUAUUAAAUCCCAGUGCCCAAGGUGAUAGUAUUUAGAGGUGGGGCCUUUGGGAGGUGAUUAGGUCAUGGGUGUGGACCUUCAUGAAGGGCAUUAGUGCCUUCAUAAAAGAGACCCCAGGGGCUGGCUCUGUGGCCGAGUGGUUAAGUUCACACACUGUGUUUCAGCGGCCCAGGAUUUCGCGGGUUCAGAUCCUGGGUGCAGACAUAGCACUGCUCAUCUAAGCCAUGCUGAGGCGGCGUCCCACAUAGCACAACCAGAGGUGCUCACAACUAGAAUAUACAACUAUGUACUGGGGGGCUUUUGUGGAGAAGAAGAAGAAGAAGAAGAAAAAGAAGAUUGGCAACAGAUGUUAGCUCAGGUGCCAAUCUUAAAAAAAAAAGAGAGACUCCAGGUCCUUCCACCAUGUAAGGACGCAGUGAGAAGAUGGUCAUUAGUGAACCAGAAAGCUGGCUCUCACUACGUACUGAAUCUGCCAGCCUUGGACUUCCCAGCCUCCAGAACUGUGAGAAAUAAAUUUCUGUUGUUUAGAAGCCACCCUGUCUGUGGUGUUUUUGUUGUGGCAGCCCGAAUGGACUAAGACAGUGUGUGAGAACAGAAAGCACUGGACCGGGAGUCAGCUGACCCUAAUUCUGAGUAAGCCCCCUCCCUUAUCUGGGCAUCACUUUCUUUAUCUGUCAGGUUAUGGGGUUUGACUAAAGGGUCUUGAAGGUCCCUUCCAGUUUGAAUAGUCCA
This 2419-nucleotide long non-coding RNA is filed under the name Equus caballus (horse). Its description in RNAcentral is "lncRNA (ENSECAG00000056702.1)". Lineage: Eukaryota; Metazoa; Chordata; Mammalia; Perissodactyla; Equidae. The record is from RNAcentral.